AAUGGUAAUGACCCAUUUUGUUUGGGUUAGUUUGAAAGCAUUUGCUUUGAUAGUGCGAAGCAUGUUGUCGACUGUGUGCGUAUUCUUACCCGGAAAGUUAAAUGUGAUUGCCGGGUUUAUGUAAAAAUGGGGUUUUUAUGGGCAAUUUCCGAGACCCCCGAAAAGGUCUAUUUUACCCCAGAUAUAAAUUUAAAGAGCAUUUUCUGCAUUGUUUUGUGCUUUAUUUUCAAGCUGUUGACGGGCCGCAAUGAAUAUGGUCUGAAUAUAUUUUCAGGUUGUGACUGAAGGCCUUGUUUUGAGGGUGUUUUGCAGACCAGUGCUUGUCGGCCUGGGGAUUUUCCAGAAAAACUGUAGACUGCCCCCUUAAGGUUUAGGUCUGAGAGUGUAUGCCAGAGUGUCUGCCUGUGCUAACCCUGCUGUGGUUCUGACGAAUUGACUGUCCCUGGCUUCCUUGUCUGUCAGCCGUACCAGUCGUUUAGAAGCUUUCGGCGCCUCGGAACUUGCACUGGAAACUCCAGGUUGUGACUGAAGGCCUUGUUUUGAGGGUGUUUUGCAGACCAGUGCUUGUCGGCCUGGGGAUUUUCCAGAAAAACUGUAGACUGCCCCCUUAAGGUUUAGGUCUGAGAGUGUAUGCCAGAGUGUCUGCCUGUGCUAACCCUGCUGUGGUUCUGACGAAUUGACUGUCCCUGGCUUCCUUGUCUGUCAGCCGUACCAGUCGUUUAGAAGCUUUCGGCGCCUCGGAACUUGCACUGGAAACUCCAGGUUGUGACUGAAGGCCUUGUUUUGAGGGUGUUUUGCAGACCAGUGCUUGUCGGCCUGGGGAUUUUCCAGAAAAACUGUAGACUGCCCCCUUAAGGUUUAGGUCUGAGAGUGUAUGCCAGAGUGUCUGCCUGUGCUAACCCUGCUGUGGUUCUGACGAAUUGACUGUCCCUGGCUUCCUUGUCUGUCAGCCGUACCAGUCGUUUAGAAGCUUUCGGCGCCUCGGAACUUGCACUGGAAACUCCAGGUUGUGACUGAAGGCCUUGUUUUGAGGGUGUUUUGCAGACCAGUGCUUGUCGGCCUGGGGAUUUUCCAGAAAAACUGUAGACUGCCCCCUUAAGAUUCAUCUGUGCUUAAGACCCUGUGACUCAUGGCCGCUGCUUUUUUUUCGAGUUUUCCCCCGGAUCAGCUUGUAGUGAAACUGGAAGCUGUUCUGGGUGAAAAGAGUUUAGGUCUGAGAGUGUAUGCCAGAGUGUCUGCCUGUGCUAACCCUGCUGUGGUUCUGACGAAUUGACUGUCCCUGGCUUCCUUGUCUGUCAGCCGUACCAGUCGUUUAGAAGCUUUCGGCGCCUCGGAACUUGCACUGGAAACUCCAGGUUGUGACUGAAGGCCUUGUUUUGAGGGUGUUUUGCAGACCAGUGCUUGUCGGCCUGGGGAUUUUCCAGAAAAACUGUAGACUGCCCCCGAAGUAAACAAAAUAAAGUGAGCCAUUUGUCUGUAUUGGGUGGCCGAAACCGCGCUGAUGUGUGCCGGCGCAUUCUGAAGCAUUGCAUGUCAAAUGAGGUGGCCAACCAGUACAGCUGGCAUGGGAGGAAGAAAAAGGCAGUAUUUGGAAAACUUUCUAUUGGCUGAUGCUGUGCAGAAAGCUGUCAUGCGGUCCUUGAAAUGCACAGCUGCAGAAGUUGAACAUGAGUGCAGGGAAUGGUUUAGAACAGCCUCUGACCGUGACGGUGGAAGAAAAAAGAGGACAGCCAAAAUAAGUGAUGAACAGUCCCAAUGAAUUUUAACUCGUGUGUGUUUUAACUUUUAAUUUAGUCUCCUGCUGCAAUUUGUUAUGAUGUAAAGGUCUCUUUGAACUUGAAAUUAAUGAUUUUACACAACUUUUCUUUUAAUAUGUAUACUGAUGGAAGCAGUGUAUAUUUUUGUUGUUUUUUUUUUGCCUUUAUUACCUAAAUAGCUGUAACUCUGUGUGUUACUUAGGUAAACGUAACUUUUCAAUAUAUUCUUGUUCUAAUUGUUUUCAUUUGUCAUUUUUGAAGAAAACAAGUUUCAUGUAGUUUGUAUUAAUAUUGAAGACAAUUUUCUUGUAAUAUUUUUUAUUCAAAACUUUCUAGAAAUGCCCAUAAUUUAUGUCUAAGUUCAGGGGACAUACAAGGUGUUUAUUUCUGAAAAUACUCAAUUAUAAAAAUCAAUUCCCUCAAUUCAUUUUGAAUUUGAUAAGUGACAGAACUCAAUUAUUUUUAUUUUCAAGUGAUCAUUUCCUGGUGAAAACAACAAAUAAUUUUAAUAUAUGUUAGUUUAAGGUAUUUAUAUGUAAAUAAGUCCCAGUAAACUACUCAAUUAUAUAUCAUUCAGCAAUAUAUUGCUCUGUCCUACUGCAAUGUAUUCAUUAACAAAUACUGGCUGCUUUAUACUGCAUAUCAUUAUUAGUUCUCUUUAAAGGAAUGGUCUGACUUAAUGGCUUUUUUUUCAGUAUUUUGGGGAUGUGAUCCCAUUCCAUGAAAUUGGGAAAUGUUGUGUCAAUAUAUAUAUUUACCUGCAGUUCAGAAAAAGUACAACUGAUUAACUACAAGUCUUAUUCCACAUUUCACAGCUAGUAUUUACCAUUUAAGACUAUUCAACAAUGAGGAAUUGCUUGACUUGAUUUAGGGGGAAAACAUGUGUUCUGCCAUUGACAACAUGGCCCAUUACCUUAAAGUGAGAUUUCUAGUCACUUGUACAUUUACAUUUUGUGCCAUUACUAUGUUUUGUUUUUUUUGCUGGAUAGCAAUUUCCUGAAUUUACUUGUUACAAUUUUUGUGUAUCGUAUGACUGCUAUGUUGUAUUUUGCUGACUAGUCUUGUUACUAUUUUUUGUGUAUCAUAUGACUACAUUGUUGUAUUUUGCUGACUAGUCUUACUUGUUACUAUUUAUUGUGUAUCGUAUGACUACUAUGUUGUAUUUUGCUGACUAGUCUUAUUUGUUACUAUGUUUUGUGUAUCGUAUGACUACGAUGUUGUACUUUGCUGACUAGUCUUACUUGUUACUAUUUUUUGUGUAAGGUAUGACUACUUUGUUGUAUUUUGCUGACUAGUCUUAUUUGUUCUUAUUUUGUGUGUAUCUUAUGACUACUAUGUUGUAUUUUGCUAACUAGUCUUAAUUGUUACUAUUUUAUGGGUAUCAUACGCUAUCCAUUUUAAAGAAAGGGUUAUUUUAUUAAUUGCCAGGGUAUAUAGACCAGUUUUGAUAAUAUGGGUGAUAUGAACCAUUUAUACAUGCAUGUUUGGUAAUUUUCCAUGUAUACAAUAUGCAUGUUGGAUACGUUGGUUUUCUUCAUAAUUCUCUUAUUUUAUUUUCAUUUGCUGAAUAUUCUAUUACCAAAAUACAAAACUCAAGUCAUUUGGUCAUUUAACAUUUUGUUUCAAUGUGUUACUUUUUCAGUUUCUGUACCUGUAGAAUUAUAGAGUCUGUUUAAAUAAUUUCUUUUACAUUUGUUGUUAGUCAAUGUAUAUAUUAAUUAAUUUUACCCCAUUAGAAUAAAAAUGUUGGAAUUAGUAAUAAAUCAGUUUAAUAUUUUCAGUUUCAAGACAGUAGUAUAAUUAGCAAAUACUGUAUUCCAGUUUGGUUGAAAAGAAUGUAAAAAUAAAAUGUUGUCU
Long non-coding RNA from Dreissena polymorpha, 3614 nucleotides. RefSeq lists it as uncharacterized. Lineage: Eukaryota; Metazoa; Mollusca; Bivalvia; Myida; Dreissenidae. The transcript has 12 exons. The record is from RefSeq and is a predicted model, not a curated record.